RNAcentral lists this ribosomal RNA (425 nucleotides) under uncultured bacterium. RNAcentral's name for it is "bacterial SSU rRNA". It matches the Rfam family "Bacterial small subunit ribosomal RNA", at positions 353 to 794 of the family's 1533-position model. The record is from RNAcentral.
AGUGGGGAAUCUUGCGCAAUGGGCGAAAGCCUGACGCAGCAACGCCGCGUGCGGGAUGAAGGCCUUCGGGCUGUAAACCGCUUUCAGCAGGAACGAAAAUGACGGUACCUGCAGAAGAAGGAGCGGCCAACUACGUGCCAGCAGCCGCGGUGACACGUAGGCUCCAAGCGUUGUCCGGAUUUAUUGGGCGUAAAGAGCUCGUAGGCGGUUUAGUAAGUCGGGUGUUAAAACUCUGGGCUCAACCCGGAGAGGCCAUCCGAUACUGCUGUGACUUGAGUUCAGGAGGGGAGCGGGGAAUUCCUAGUGUAGCGGUGAAAUGCGCAGAUAUUAGGAGGAACACCGGUGGCGAAGGCGCCGCUCUGGACUGAAACUGACGCUGAGGAGCGAAAGCAUGGGUAGCAAACAGGAUUAGAUACCCUGGUAGU